AUUAGCUAGUUGGUGGGGUAAAGGCCUACCAAGGCGACGAUCUGUAGCGGGUCUGAGAGGAUGAUCCGCCACACUGGGACUGAGACACGGCCCAGACUCCUACGGGAGGCAGCAGUGGGGAAUAUUGGACAAUGGGGGAAACUCUGAUCCAGCCAUGCCGCGUGUGUGAAGAAGGCCUUAUGGUUGUAAAGCACUUUAAGCGAGGAGGAGGCUACUGAGACUAAUACUCUUGGAUAGUGGACGUUACUCGCAGAAUAAGCACCGGCUAACUCUGUGCCAGCAGCCGCGGUAAUACAGAGGGUGCGAGCGUUAAUCGGAUUUACUGGGCGUAAAGCGUGCGUAGGCGGCUUUUUAAGUCGGAUGUGAAAUCCCCGAGCUUAACUUGGGAAUUGCAUUCGAUACUGGGAAGCUAGAGUAUGGGAGAGGAUGGUAGAAUUCCAGGUGUAGCGGUGAAAUGCGUAGAGAUCUGGAGGAAUACCGAUGGCGAAGGCAGCCAUCUGGCCUAAUACUGACGCUGAGGUACGAAAGCAUGGGGAGCAAACAGGAUUAGAUACCCUGGUAGUCCAUGCCGUAAACGAUGUCUACUAGCCGUUGGGGCCUUUGAGGCUUUAGUGGCGCAGCUAACGCGAUAAGUAGACCGCCUGGGGAGUACGGUCGCAAGACUAAAACUCAAAUGAAUUGACGGAAUCGUCGACCUGCAGGCAUGCAAG
This 710-nucleotide ribosomal RNA is filed under the name uncultured bacterium. RNAcentral's name for it is "bacterial SSU rRNA". It matches the Rfam family "Bacterial small subunit ribosomal RNA", at positions 240 to 941 of the family's 1533-position model. The record is from RNAcentral.